CGGUGAAUGAGCAUAUGAAACUGGUGGGGUUCGGUACCUCCAACAAGGUUAAGAACCACUGCUCUAGGGAAAAAAGGAUGAGGUAUGUUCUUAACGAAGUCCAGAUAGAAUAUUAAGGACUUACAAAGCAUCGUUUCAAUUUCAUAAAUAGAUGGGGCAGCUACCAACCUGGUGGUUCCAUCUCCAGCUCCACCUGUCCAGAUGAUGAAAUGUCCUUGGGUACAAGUACACAGGAUCAUCUUAACACUGAAAAGAUGCCAUCAAGUUGAAUUCUUGGAGCAGCCAGUUGAAUGCAGAAAGGGAAUUGUCUUUACUUUAAUGGAAGUAUCAGUCAACCAGCUGGUUCUAUGGCUGUAACUCACCAAAUGCAAUUCACCAAACACACCCAACACAUUUCAUACAACAGAAACAAAGUGUCUCAUCAGAUUUGUUCCAAAAACAUUUAAUAUGCUUUAGGAAAGAAGGAUUACAGUACACACUGAUCCAUUCGGGUUACAGGUCACCAAUUAAGAAUAAAUAACUGGCCAUGUUAAUACAAACUCUGCUUGCUUUCUUUGUACAGUCACUAAAAGAGUGGAUCAAGUCACUAAUAUUCAUAGUGUGUGUUGCUCUUAGAUCACAAAUGUCUUGUAGAUCUUCUCUUAAAAAACUUUUCAGAUAAAUUCAUCUUAAUUUCUUUAUUAAACAUUAACAACAAUUUAUAGUUAGCAAGUGGAGAGGAAAGCAGCUAAUCUCUUGUCCAGGAUCUUGUUCCCUUUUUGUGAAGAUGAAAAGUUGCCUAUUCACUGCUGAUCUGUGUUCAGUUUGCCUCAAAAUUCAGAAUCUUUUCUCACGUAAAUAUUAUAAAACGUGACUGGAUCUGGACUUCACUGGCAGUUUAAGUUAUUGAUAACCUUUUACGGAGUUAAUCAUCACGGCGUCAUUACACCACUGUUCAGCACCGGAAGUGAGUGUGGUAUUGCUGCCUGAGCUGAAACAGCCUCACAUCCAGACUCCAGUUUUAACUCAGUCCCUAAACUGCAUGUUGGAAAGUCUGAAAUCGGGUUUCAAACCACCUCAAUGAAACUCUGAACUGACUUAUGAUCAGCGUUUUUUGGGCAACCAUAAUCUCUUCAUCCAGAGCACAGACAAGAGCGUGUUCCGAAGCUUAUGAUACAAAUUCCCCUUUAAGGUGUGCUGUGUGAAAAUAGUCAAGUAAUCAAGAAAGACCUGGUAGUGUGCUUUUAGUGG
This is a long non-coding RNA of Larimichthys crocea (large yellow croaker), 1230 nucleotides long. RefSeq lists it as uncharacterized. The record is from RefSeq and is a predicted model, not a curated record. NCBI's taxonomy places the organism in Eukaryota, Metazoa, Chordata, Actinopteri, Sciaenidae. The transcript has 2 exons.